Long non-coding RNA from Astyanax mexicanus (Mexican tetra), 3783 nucleotides. RefSeq lists it as uncharacterized. The transcript has 4 exons. Lineage: Eukaryota; Metazoa; Chordata; Actinopteri; Characiformes; Acestrorhamphidae. The record is from RefSeq and is a predicted model, not a curated record.
CUAAAUUAAUUUGGUAUUUUGUGGUCUGAAGCAAAACUAGAAUCAAAAUCUCUGCCUCAUUUCUCAGCUCUGACUUUGGUUGUGGCGGGUAGAAUCUCAAACAGAAAACAGGAAAUACUACCGUAGGGUAGACUGUCUCAUUUCAGUACUGCCAUCGCAGCCUACCCAUCCUUCUAAGGACACACCUUCGUAGACCGCGUCCUUCGAAGGAUGCAGCCCCUAAAUUGAGACACAGCCAUUGAGUGUAGGUACAGUACAGUUAGAGUACAGCAGAGGAUGCUGUAAUAAUCAUAUGAGUUAUUGUGAUAUUGAGUGUGGGUACAGUACAGUUAGAAAACACUAGAGGGCGUUGUAAUAAUCAGGUAAUUUAUUGCGAUCUUGAAUGUGGGUAUAGUACAGCAGCGGACAGUAAAGGGAGCUGUAAUGACCAGGUGAGUUAUUCUGGUAUUGGGUGUGGGUACAGUACAGUUAGAGGACAGUAGAGGGCGCUGUAAUAAUCAGGUGAGUUAUUGUGAUAUUGAGUGUGGGUACAGUUAGAAAACACUAGAGGGUGCUGUAAUAAUCAGGUAAGUUUUUGUGAUGUUGAAUGUUAUAUGAUAUUUUUAUUAAUUAUAUCCCUUUCCUGUGUUUAGAUUAUUCUAAUGUGUAUGUAGUAGACAUGACAUACGCUUGAUUUUUCCUGCACAUUCAUAAUAUUCAUUGUUUUGUAUAUCAGUUUCUUUACUCUACCGUUUUAUUUCAUUUUGUAUUUUUAUUAUGUUUAAAUAUAAUAAAAUCUAAAUUUAGUUCAUUAAAAAUUUUAUUAUGGCAAGUUAUUAAUAUCUCUAAUUGUGUUUCUUGUAGACAAUGCAGAAGGUGUGGCUUGAAGGAAUAGCAAAAAAUCUGAGGAAACCCAAAGAUUCUAAAGUAAAUACAGAAGUCCAACUUAUUAAUGGAAAUGAGAAGGAAUUUAUGGACUCCUACAUCACUAAGAUCCAAGAGGAAAGAAAUUAUUGUUUCCCAGCAACUAAGUCCACCAGCAAAGACUAUUAUUUUUAUGCCUGUGACAGAUCAAAUAAGGCAAAAGGACAAAGCAAAGGGGAGUCCAGUAAAACAAGAGCCAAUUCCUGCCUGACUUAUGUUUUUUUUUUUAAUGAUUGUAUUGAUGGGAUUGUCUCACUGGCCAAAUAUGUUUACACUGUGGGCCAAAUUUGGUCCAUGGGCCUGAUUUUGACACCUAUAGUCUACAGAAAUAUAAAAUGUACUUUUCGGCUGCAUUUUGUUAUAUUUGUCAAACAAUUUACCCUCUACAUAUAUGGGAAUAUGGGAAAAAAUCAUAUCACAAUAUUUUUUUAUAUCAGUCAAUAUCAAUAUAUAUAUCACGAUAUAAUCAAACCAUUAUUUCUGUUACAUCUAAAGGUUACUUUGUACUCCUCAGUGAUGAGUGAAGAUAUUGAGAUGUGGGAGUUUGUUGCCUCACACAGGGUGCGCAAUUAUUCAUGUCAAAUGUCUGUGAUUCAUUCGUCUGCAGUAACCAAAAUAUUAGCAUGUGGAUUAAACCACUGCUCCCUCUGCACUCUGUGCUGUGUGCUUCUACUAGAGAUGAAACAAUAUUAACAUUUUAUAUCAGCAUUAUAAUGACCAAAACUGUCACGCUUAUCAUAUUAUAGUGAUAUUGUUUAAAUGUGUUGAAAAAUAAAAUGCAUAAAUAAUAAAUACUAAUACACAAACCAUAACUUUUACAUUGACACUAAUAGAAUUGACCGACAUAAUAAUAAUUAUAAUAAUAAUAAGGACUGUUAUUUAUAUUAUCAUUAUUAUUCAUUUCAAUAUUUAGUGAUUGUGAUAGAAACACUCUAAUAAUUUAACCACAAAAGAUGAUUGCUAAAAGCUGCACUGCCUUUACUCAUGCAAGGACCCGUCCCAAAUCACACAAGCUUCCCUCUGUUAUUUUGCGAUAAAUAUUAUCUUUUUAUCGCCCAGCACUAAGUGUAUUUGUAUUGUAUGUUCAAGGCUGUGCAUCACUGGCUGGUGAAAAAAGAUGGAGAAAACCUUCAGGAGGAUCACCUGCCCAAAGAAACACUGUUCUACAUGCCAUGAUGACAAUGAAAGCCUGCAUGACAGUACAAAAGAAGGGAUUUCUGUGACAUCUUGCAACUGAAUGAAGAAGAUUUUGAAAGUGUGUCUGCUUUAAAGUGUAGAGACCUUGAGGCCCAGUUUGGUAGCAGCCGGGUAACCCAUUACCUCAGGGACCAAUGGUUUCCUUUGGCCGCACUCUGGGCAAACUUUGGACGAUUGUUUGAGCACAACAGCAGUGACACCAACAACAAAGCAGAGAGAUUCUUCCUCACUAUAAAAUACCAGUUUUUGUGAGGUCAAGCAAAUAAACGAGUUGACCAGCUUCUUCAAUUGCUUUGUGGAGAUGGCCAAAAAUAUUACAAUUAUUUGGAUGACCUCGUACAUGCUGGACGACUUAACACUUCAGCAUCAUCUACUUCUGUACCUACUACAAGUAUGCUGGGAGAUGGUCUGCAUAAAAAAAUUCACAUAGGUGAAGAUGGGAGAUGUUCUCUGCCAAAAGAUUCCAUGUCAACAGUGUCAGACCCUCGUAUAAUUACAGUUGAUUUAGUCUGGAUGCUCUGUGACUGCAAAACCUAUGACAGAGGCAAUCUGUGCAAGCACACCAUGAUGGCCAAGACUGAGGCACAAAGAAGAGGCAUAAACACACAAGUUUUACGCAAUAGCGUGGCAAAACAAUAUUUUGACAAUGAUCAGUUCUACAUAGAUGGAGACUGUCUUUCAGUAUACCAUCGUGAUGGCAAUGUCACAUUUGAGGUGAACCUGCUUUUUGCACUUGUACUGCCAACAGUUACCAAGAAAAAUGUGUCUUGCAGAUAUCCCUGAAAUUAACAUGACCUCUUCUUGCAUGGCCAUGACUGAAAGUGAGAUUGCCCAUCAGCUGUGUCCUAAACCAAAGCCUACAGUGCAGACCAUGCUGUCAGACUUGCUUGAAUGGAGUCACUCACCAAACUACAAGUACAGCAGAGAACUGCACAAUACAAUCCAGAAAGCACACAAAAUGGCCUUUGCAAACUUUGGAAUAGUUUCUAAGAAACACAAAAUCUCUGCCCUGCAUGCAUAUCGGAAACAUAUUGAGAAGGCCAAACGUGAAGCUAGAGAGACUUUUAAAUCUGUAAGGUCACACAGGUUACGUGUGCAGAACAUACAGAAGGAAAGUGUGUCAAGAAAGAAAAUUUUGUAAGUGUUUGUCACAUUUCUUUUACAUUUCUUUUGUCCUUUUCUCAGUGAACACUUAAAAAAUAUGGUGGAUUUACUCUAAUGGUAAUUUAUCAGCUCCAAUGAACAUGUAGGACCACUUUGUAGUUCUACAAUUACAUUUGCUGUCAUCCAUCAGUCACUUACAGCAGUUACCUAGUUCUUCAAUACUAAGGACCCCCAUGUAGCAGGUAUUAUUUGUGUUGUUUUUCAUUCUCAGCAUUGCAGUGACACUGAUGUGGUGCUUGUUUGGGUAGAUCAGACAGUAGUAGUUUUUUUUUUUUUGUUUUUUUUAACCUCUUGUGACACUUUGGACUGAGAUGGUCCACCAACCAAAACUGGAAAGCACUGAUGAAGGACUAUAACAAAAACAGCAGCAACAAAUGAGCCAUCAUCUCUGACUUUACAACUAGUUAGGUCAAAGUAACUCAACAGAAUGGACAGUGUUUAAAAACUCCACCAAGUGUAUAUUUGGAUGUUGAUUCUUGAUAUGGAUGUUAUAAAUGUAAAUAAAUUGUUGAUUAAUUA